This 1570-nucleotide long non-coding RNA is filed under the name Lupinus angustifolius (narrow-leaved blue lupine). RNAcentral describes it as "long non-coding RNA (LANG_LNC000558)". Lineage: Eukaryota; Viridiplantae; Streptophyta; Magnoliopsida; Fabales; Fabaceae. The record is from RNAcentral.
UUUAUUAUAAUUUCUUUUAUAUAUUAAAUAAUCUUUCUUCAAAUACAAUUUAAUUAUUGUAAAUUUGAAGAAGAGUACUUAAUAAUAUUACCACAUUUUUAUAUGUGAAAGUUUACUCUUAAGACAACAGUAGCAACAAUUAGCAGUGCCAAAUCUACAACAAUCACAACAAACAGCAUAUGCAUUUGCGCUUUGCAUCGAAGUAGAAACAACAACGAACAACACCAACAAUAACAUCAUCAUCAUCUUCAUUGAAGCUGCUUCCAUUGUAGCUUAACUUAAUUUAGAAGAAAGGUAAAAAUGAUUAAUCAAAUCCAAUAGUAAUAGAUAAACUACUAGGUCUUGGUUAAGAUUUUAUCAAAUGAAUUUUGAAAUCAGUUAUUUUAUAAAAAUCAUUAAUUUAACCAUAUUAUAUAUAAACAUAUCAAAUAAUAAAAUAUUUAUCAACAAUAAUCACAUGAUAAUGAAAAAAAAUCAACAUUAACUAUAAUACAGAUAAUGUUAUUAGCAAUGUUGUGAAACCCGAAUCGGACGUCAAACCGGAAGAGGUCUAGUAUUAGGUUUAACCGUCUGACUGGAUGAUUUUAUAUAUAAAAUAAUAGUUUUUAUCUAUAGAUAUGUAAUUUUAUAUAAAUGUAAAGUUUUAGAUAAUUAAUAAUUAUGUAUAAUUAUAUUGAAGUGACAUAUUUUCAUCUAUUUUGGACUAGAGUAAAACAAAAUAUCUGAGUGAUGUUCCAUUUUUUUAAUUGAACCGUCUUGUUUACUUCCUGGGUUAAUAUGGUUGAACCGAGUUUAGUUCAAGUCCGAUUAGCAAUUAGACCGGUCAAACUGUCUGGUCCGAUCCGAUUCUCAUAAUACUGGUUAUUAUUAGUUGGCCAAUUAUCACAUUAUUAUGAAAAACAAUGAAUAGUAUGCUGAAAAUGAUAGUAGAAAUAUUAAAUUAAGUAAAAAAUAUAUAUACAUCACUAACUUUAUUUUAGGAAACAUUUAUUGUGUUUACUAAAUAAAUAUAUUUUUACUCAAUUGUCAUUACAAAUAACACAGAACGUUAGAAAAAAUUAAAUAAAUAGAGUUGAAACAUUUUAGUAUAUUCAAAAGGGAUAAUAAAAAAGUAAUAAAAUAAUUUUAAAUUAAGUCAAUAGUUAGUGACACUUAUGUAUAUAAAAUAGGGACAUAAUAUGUUUUUCCUAAAGGUAAUUAUCUAUCAUUAGUAUUGAAAAUCAAUAAUAACCCCAAAAAUGUUUAAUUUACCACAAUAAUUAAGUCAAUAACAUAGAAUUACUAAAGCAAACAGAAAACUCGUAACAAAGAUUAUGAGAAAGAAAAAUUAUGAAAGAAAUCAUAAGCAAAUAUUUAGUGAUUUCAACACAUGGAAUAAUAAUGAGAACAUACACUAAUAGAAAACUCACAUAGUACACUUAUCCAUGGAUCAUGUCAUACUAACAAACAAACUAAAGAAUGUUAAAAGAAAAUAUAUAAAAAAGUUGUAUCUAAAUUCUAAACUACCUUAUUUCCUCUUGAUCUGCCUCCCUUUGAUGUAUGUACUUCCUUGGAGUUCUCUACCCUUUGU